This 73-nucleotide transfer RNA is filed under the name Paramecium bursaria Chlorella virus KS1B. Its description in RNAcentral is "tRNA-Val". It matches the Rfam family "tRNA". From Rfam's summary of the family: Transfer RNA (tRNA) molecules are approximately 80 nucleotides in length. Their secondary structure includes four short double-helical elements and three loops (D, anti-codon, and T loops). The record is from RNAcentral. Lineage: Varidnaviria; Bamfordvirae; Nucleocytoviricota; Megaviricetes; Algavirales; Phycodnaviridae.
GAUCCCUUAGCUCAGUUGGAAGAGCUUUUGCCUAACACGCAGCAGGUCGCAGGAUCAAAACCUGCAGGGAUCA